Peromyscus eremicus (cactus mouse) is the source of this 1342-nucleotide long non-coding RNA. RefSeq lists it as uncharacterized. The record is from RefSeq and is a predicted model, not a curated record. The transcript is spliced from 3 exons. Lineage: Eukaryota; Metazoa; Chordata; Mammalia; Rodentia; Cricetidae.
AAGAACAAAAAGAGAAGGUCCUUGAGGGGCAAAGGAGAUCAGCCCACCUAGGCAAUGCAGGACAGUAGGUUGCAGAGUCUUAAUUCAAGUUGAGCUGUUCAUAUAAACUGAUGUCUGAAUCUCUAAGAAAGAAACAAGGAAGGCCAGAAGACAUGGCUCCGGUGUGGAGAAGGAAAGACUAGGUAUCUCAGUCUAUGAUACAGAGAAAAGUGGUGUGACCAACCUCGAUGCAGGAGGAGGAGAUGACACCGGAGGAAGAGGGUUGGUUAGAAUUUGGGAGCUGAAAACGGAACAGAAGAGAAAACCGAGAUGUGAAUCCUGUGUAACCAUUUUAUCUGCAAGCAAGAGGCUGCUAUUGUCAUCCUGACUUAAGAGGAGAAAGCAGUCACACAAUCGAGAACGUAACAGGGAGUCUGCGCAGCAAACAGGCAGACUUGAGACUUGGUUCUCUGACUAGGCAGAAGGCAAGACUGGUCUCUAGUAAUCUGUGCAUAUGUAUUCUUGAGUUCACUUGAUGAGUUUCCAUGCCAAAGUCAAAAUCAAAAUGAGAAAAGCCAGAGUCUGUUUGGCACAUGAGAGAGAAAGGAAAGAAGACAACAAUAUAAAUGAAAGAAGAGGAUAACUCGAAAAGGGACAAAGUGUCACAUGUAAAAACAAUCUUCCCUGGAGAGCCAUACCUAUCUAUUUCUGCAGAACUGAUUCCAGAAUUGGACAGAUUUUCUGAUCCCGAACCUUGACUGUCCUUCUUGGUAGGUUCCAAACCGUUCUUUAUGUCAUCGAAGUUCUCAUAUUUCAGAGCCUGGACCAGCUGCAGUAAGUACAUCAGCAAGUCCUAGAAACCAAUGAACGACAAAGAAACUGGUAUUAGCAGAGCCCAGCACACUUACUCCUAGAGCCAGGACAUCCCUCGACUUGCAAUGUCUACCUCUUCCAUCUGUUGCCAUUACCAUGUUACUAAGCUACGUCACUGCUGGCUGCAUCCUGUGUCUUUAUUUAUAGAAAGAGCAGGACAGCAAAGACUGCAGAAACAGACACAAUCACUAAAUAAGUAGACGAAGAAAGAGACUGGAGAGUGUGCGGCACACAGUGAGUGGCCAGCGGAUGAGUUCCCGUAAGUAGGGCUGACUGAACAACAAAACAAGAAAGCAGGAAAGUAAGGAGGGAGCUUGAGCUGGCUCCUAAGGAAUUAAAGAAGGGCCUUGUUAUCAGCAGAUAGUCAAAUGCAUCCCAUGUCUAAGACUGCUGGAGAACGCACUUCACAUUUUCAAAAGGAUUUCUGUUUCAGGACAUGUUCUGAAACAAAUUUUGUUCUUCUUUCCCUUAAAAGCCAGAGUUUAAAGAA